GAGUUUGAUUCUGGCUCAGGAUGAACGCUGGCGGCAUGCCUAACACAUGCAAGUUGAACGAGAAGUUCUGGAGGGAGUCUUCGGACGAACGAAGGGAUGGAAAGUAGCGAGCGGGUGAGUAACGCGUGGGCAACCAACCUUACACAGGGGGAUAACACAGAGAAAUCUGUGCUAAUACCGCAUAAGCGCACAGUAUCACAUGAUACGGUGUGAAAAACUCUGGUGGUGUAAGACGGGCCCGCGUCUGAUUAGCUAGUUGGUGGGGUAAAAGCCUACCAAGGCGACGAUCAGUAGCCGACCUGAGAGGGUGAUCGGCCACAUUGGGACUGAGACACGGCCCAAACUCCUACGGGAGGCAGCAGUGGGGGAUAUUGCACAAUGGAGGAAACUCUGAUGCAGCAAUGCCGCGUGAAGGAAGACGGUUUUCGGAUUGUAAACUUCUAUCAGCAGGGAAGAAAAUGACGUACCUGACUAAGAGCCCCG
RNAcentral lists this ribosomal RNA (483 nucleotides) under Lachnospiraceae bacterium canine oral taxon 161. RNAcentral describes it as "bacterial SSU rRNA". It matches the Rfam family "Bacterial small subunit ribosomal RNA", at positions 9 to 495 of the family's 1533-position model. Lineage: Bacteria; Bacillati; Bacillota; Clostridia; Lachnospirales; Lachnospiraceae. The record is from RNAcentral.